AUACGGAGGAUGCGAGCGUUAUCCGGAUUUAUUGGGUUUAAAGGGAGCGUAGGUGGGAUAUUAAGUCAGCUGUGAAAGUUUGGGGCUCAACCUUAAAAUUGCAGUUGAUACUGGUUUCCUUGAGUACGGUACAGGUGGGCGGAAUUCGUGGUGUAGCGGUGAAAUGCUUAGAUAUCACGAAGAACUCCGAUCGCGAAGGCAGCUCACCGGGCCGGAACUGACACUGAUGCACGAAAGUGCGGGGAUCGAACAGGAUUAGAUACCCUGGUAGUCCGCACAGUAAACGAUGAAUACUUGUUUUCGGCGAUAUAAUGUCGGAGGCAAAGCGAAAGCGAUAAGUAUUCCACCUGGGGAGUACGCCGGCAACGGUGAAACUCAAAGGAAUUGACGGGG
This 393-nucleotide ribosomal RNA is filed under the name uncultured bacterium. Its description in RNAcentral is "partial 16S ribosomal RNA". It matches the Rfam family "Bacterial small subunit ribosomal RNA", at positions 523 to 918 of the family's 1533-position model. The record is from RNAcentral.